Molecule: ribosomal RNA, 255 nt
Filed under: uncultured bacterium
Lineage: Bacteria
Description: partial 16S ribosomal RNA
Rfam family: Bacterial small subunit ribosomal RNA
Source: RNAcentral
UACGUAGGGUGCAAGCAUUAAUCGGAAUUAUUGGGCGUAAAGGGCGCGAGUAGGCGGAGAUGUAAGUCAGAUGUGAAAUCCCGGGGCUCAACCCCGGAACUGCAUUUGAAACUGCAUUUCUAGAGGAUAGGCGGAGAAAACGGAAUUCCACAAGUAGCGGUGAAAUGCGUAGAUAUGUGGAAGAACACCUGUGGCGAAAGCGGUUUUCUAGCUUAUUCCUGACGCUGAGGCGCGAAAGCAAGGGGAUCAAACAGG